Molecule: transfer RNA, 64 nt
Filed under: Cucujoidea sp. 16 KM-2017
Lineage: Eukaryota; Metazoa; Arthropoda; Insecta; Coleoptera
Description: tRNA-Trp
Source: RNAcentral
AAGGAUUUAAGUUAAAAAAACUAAUAGCCUUCAAAGCUAUCAUUAGAUGUGUAUCUAAGCCUUA